GUACAGUAUGCAGUAGGCCCUUUGUAUCCAAGGAUUCAACCAACUGUGGAUGGAAAAUAUUUUUUAAAAACCCAAUAAAAACAAUAUAACAAUAAAAACUAAUGUAAAUAAAACAAUAUAGUAUUAACUAUUUACAUAGUAUUUACAUUGUAUUAGGUGUUGAAAGUAAUAUAAAGAGGAUUUAAAGUAUAUGGAAGGAUAUGUAUAAGUUAUGUGCAAAUACUGCACCAUUUUAUAUCAGCGAUUUGAGCAUCUGUGGAUUUGAUAUCUAUGGGGGUCCUGGAACCAAGCCCCCAUAGAUACGGAAGGACAAUUCUAUCACUCAGAGAUUCUGAAUUCUGGACUUUGAGCUCAAUGCCAUGACUGAGGAAGACCACGGGGUUUUCUCUCUUAGAGGGGAGUGAACCCAGAGCUUUGAGUUGAGAUAGGGGUGCCAUAAGAUUGAAGUACUCUGAAAAACAGAGCUUAAAGGCUUUUAACAGGGCUCAGUAAACACUUAAGGAAGUUGCCGUGCACUGCAGCCUGCCGGAGACAUGAAGGAAUGUACGGGAGGAUAAUCGCAACAUCAUCAACCCAAUUCUCCAAGUAAUUUGCCAUGGGACAGGCACACCCCAUGUGUUUGGGAAGACAAUGGGAAGGUUCUGUUUUCUGCUCCAAGACUGAUUCAACCAGUUGGAUCUGGAAGGGGAUAAAGGGCUGUGUGGCUGCUUGAUUUUCAUUGUCUAGUGGCAGCCAAAAUUGGAAAAGAGAGAAGUGCAGACUUUAAAGACAAGCAGCGACAGCUCAUCAGCAGUCUAACAACACGACAGAUGACAGGCCCAGA
Molecule: long non-coding RNA, 823 nt
Filed under: Pan troglodytes (chimpanzee)
Lineage: Eukaryota; Metazoa; Chordata; Mammalia; Primates; Hominidae
Description: lincRNA
Source: RNAcentral